Molecule: transfer RNA, 72 nt
Filed under: Capra hircus (goat)
Lineage: Eukaryota; Metazoa; Chordata; Mammalia; Artiodactyla; Bovidae
Also listed under: 1 other name
Rfam family: tRNA
About the family: Transfer RNA (tRNA) molecules are approximately 80 nucleotides in length.
Source: Rfam by way of RNAcentral
UUCCUGGUGGCUUAAAUGGUAAAGAAUCUGCCUGAAGUGCAGGAGAACCAGGUUCAAUUCCUGGACGAGAAC